AUUGAACGCUGGCGGCAUGCUUUACACAUGCAAGUCGAACGGCAGCGCGGGCUUCGGCCUGGCGGCGAGUGGCGAACGGGUGAGUAAUGCAUCGGAACGUGCCCAGUAGUGGGGGAUAGCCCGGCGAAAGCCGGAUUAAUACCGCAUACGACCUGAGGGUGAAAGCGGGGGACCGAAAGGCCUCGCGCUAUUGGAGCGGCCGAUGUCGGAUUAGCUAGUUGGUGGGGUAAAGGCUUACCAAGGCGACGAUCCGUAGCUGGUCUGAGAGGACGACCAGCCACACUGGGACUGAGACACGGCCCAGACUCCUACGGGAGGCAGCAGUGGGGAAUUUUGGACAAUGGGGGCAACCCUGAUCCAGCCAUGCCGCGUGCGGGAAGAAGGCCUUCGGGUUGUAAACCGCUUUUGUUCGGGAAGAAAUCCUCUGGUCUAAUACCCCGGGGGGAUGACGGUACCGGAAGAAUAAGCACCGGCUAACUACGUG
RNAcentral lists this ribosomal RNA (484 nucleotides) under uncultured bacterium. RNAcentral describes it as "partial 16S ribosomal RNA". It matches the Rfam family "Bacterial small subunit ribosomal RNA", at positions 28 to 507 of the family's 1533-position model. The record is from RNAcentral.